GCUACCAUCCAGGACCCCCCGGGCUCCCAACAGGAGGCGGGAUGUGGGCUUGCGGGGCGGGACAUCUUCGUUGUAUUCCCUUCACAUCUUGCCCUCUCGGAGCCUGGCGGUGGCCCGAGGAGUCAACACAGGGGGAUAGAACACCUUUUCCCCUCACAAAAACCCAGCGCGGAGCCCUCCUCUCCGCCCUGCAUCCUGUCGUGAGGCACAAGCGGACCCCUACCCUUCCCCCUCCCCGGCCAACCUCGCUGCUCCGGGCUGACUUCUCUCUUUCCUCUUCCCCACAGUGCGUGGCCUGGGCCGCAGUCGCUCCCAUGGCGGCCGCCCGGCAGGGAGGGAGGCAGCAGAGACCGCCCCGAGGCACCGACUGGGCCUUCCAGUCCUCCCCCCAACCACGAAGGCUUGGGGCGCUGGCCUGCCGCGGGAGGCCAAGCAGGGUGGGCCUCGCCGUUGGGGAGGGCCGGGCAUCGGGAGUUGUGCCUUUGAACGCCCGUAGAGGUCUCACUUAGCAACUUCAUGUUAGAAAUGUUCUGGACAUGGACGAUCACACCUAAAUUAGAAGCAAUGCUCAGGACCUCUUGAGACCAAAUAAUGCCUUCUGCUAAAAGUCUGGCGGUGUCUUAAGUGGCCAACACAGAGGGGUAUAAAAGUUCUCUCUCAAACCCAGAGGUGAGGUUGAAACUCUUCUUUGGAUCAUGAUGAGAGGAACACAUUCAUGAAACUACUGAACUUCAAGAAGUUACCAAAUCAACUCUGUUGCAUUCAAAAUAGCUUCUAGGUUUCUCAAAUGUGUUGAUGCUUCAUGAACCUAUGGAAAAUAUCUUGGGUGAAAAGAGUUCCUUGUAAAUGGAUUGGUCUCCAGGGAGGAAACCAGCAUGUGCUCGGGGUUGGAACUGAUAGUAAGCUUCAGCUUAUGAUUUGAUGAGUGGCUGAUCUAUGAAUCCAUACGAGAUAACUCCAGUUGUUGCCUGUCAAGUCUUGAAAGUGAAAUUGAGGCAAGCAAUGGCUGAAACUACACAUCUUCAAUGAUCAUGUUUGAACAGGAAAGUCACUGUUUGUUGAAACUGACGUUUCUUAACAAAAUCUGCUGUAAUUUGUCUGUCUGUGUGUAUUAAUUGAAAUAAAACAUGAGAAUGCUAGCAGAA
This is a long non-coding RNA of Calidris pugnax (ruff), 1145 nucleotides long. RefSeq lists it as uncharacterized. The record is from RefSeq and is a predicted model, not a curated record. The transcript is spliced from 5 exons. Lineage: Eukaryota; Metazoa; Chordata; Aves; Charadriiformes; Scolopacidae.